AAAAUUAUGUAUACACGUAUAGGCAGCUAGAGAUCUCCCUGCCUGCCUCCUCCCCUCCCCCGAGACGGGCAGCUCCGAUCCCGCAGGAACGCCUGAAACUGUUUCAGACCAAGCCCUGUAACAUGAGCACCUUCACUGCACUGCCUGGUGAGGGAUGCACUGGGGCCGGCAGGAGUACAGCCUGACGCAGGACACCAGAGUCAGACAGUCAAGAACAGAAAAUUGGAUUUUUACAACCCAUUGGUAUCUCACCACCACCUUCUUCCAGGUCCUCUACAACUGUGGUACAAGUCCAACUGUCCUGGAAAGGUAUAUGUGACUCACACCACAGCUGCUGGCUCACAGCAGGGAUUUUCUCCUCUUGAAGUUCAUUUCCAGGACCAGAUUAAGAAGCAGUAGCCUACAACAGGGAGAUUUGCUAUCCCUAUUCCCAGUCAUUCUGCUUCUCUGCACUUUGCUGUAACUUUAUAGAGAAUAAAAAUAAAAAAUCAUAUAAACA
Molecule: long non-coding RNA, 499 nt
Filed under: Zonotrichia albicollis (white-throated sparrow)
Lineage: Eukaryota; Metazoa; Chordata; Aves; Passeriformes; Passerellidae
Description: lncRNA (ENSZALG00000007864.1)
Source: RNAcentral